RNAcentral lists this ribosomal RNA (116 nucleotides) under Lepisosteus oculatus (spotted gar). The record is from RNAcentral. Lineage: Eukaryota; Metazoa; Chordata; Actinopteri; Semionotiformes; Lepisosteidae.
UCCAGCAGCCAUGUCAUCCUGCAACUUCACUGGUAAACCACUGAAUUUCAGCAGGUAUGAGCCUGGUCAAUACCUGGAUGGGAGACCACCUGUGAAAAUUAAGGUUGCUGCUGGAA